CUGGCCAGCCGGCCAUCCCGACGAGGGCCUCUCUGCCCGUCCUGAGUCUGGGGGGUCGCAAGACCUCCAAACCCAGGUUUUUGCUGGUGGUGCAGAGGAAGGGCCGGAGGGCUCCAUGCUCCUGCCCUGAGAAGAAUCAGGAUUUUGCUGACACGGGGCCUCCGAGGAAGCCGAGGCGGUGGUGACUUUUUGCCCCGUUACCGCGACAGGCAUUUGGGGGUUUCACUGCAUCUGGAGCGUGUCAUCCCCACUUUGGGAUCCGGGGCCUGGGAAGUGUGGCGAUCCCUGGAGGCUGAGCCCCGCUUUGGGGCUGAAAGAGCCAGCUCCCCGUUCCCCCCACCCAGCCCCCUACACACAGAUCGUUCAUUUUAUCACCCUGUCCUCUGAUUCAUUAACCGCAGCUCGUUGGCAGCAGGCCCCACCCUGACAGCUCAGGACAAAGCGUGCAGGGCCCUGGGCUGGGGCUGAGUGACACGACGACGCUGGGCCAGGCCUCUCUGUGCAAAGCACAAUGGUCUGGGGCGCACACAAGGGCACACCCCUGGUCCCCUUUUUCGAAAGGGCCUUCUCUGGCCCCUCUCUCCCCCGGAUGACUCUUCCUCGCUACCAGGAGCCCCGAAACCAGCAUUCCCAGUGGCAGGAAGAUGGAUGACCAGGCUCCACUUCCCCGGCUCCUCCCCCACUCUGGCUGGAACUUGCGUCAGGCCCCUUCCUGCCCGACCCCUCUGUGCAUUUGAACAUGUCGUGACGGGCCUGUGCCAGCCCCGCUCUUUCGGGAUGGACACUCCCAGGCCCGUUCCAGGAAAGCACAGGCCAGUCCCCGGAGCCCGGGCUGAGCAGGAGUCCAGCUUGCUGUGUUCCAACCCCCUGUGCGGGUCAGGGGGACCUUUCCUCCACCCUUGGGUCCCUGCCCAGGCGGAGCAGUGGAAACACCUCCAAAGAAAAUAUGGGCAUAGAAGUAGCCUUGGGUGACACUGUGGCCCCCAGACCGUCUUCCUGCCCAGCGGUACCUGCAACGCUGACAAUCUGGCCGGAGGAUCCUGCCCCUGCCUUUGCCAGCAGAGCCCUGGGGGGGCCGGGGCUGCUGCUUCCAGAUCAGGGUGACCCUCGGGGUGGGUGCCAAGAAGAGCAAGCCACUUCCAGCUGCACCUCACCACCUGGCCACAUGCAACUAGGGAACAAAUGCAGCCGCUGGUUUCGGUGAGUCACUGCUCGGCUGACUUGGAGAGAGAAGCCUGGUGCUGUUGGGGGGCUGCGACCGCAGCAGGCCCUUUUAUCCGGGGACUGGAGGGUGGAGGCUUCGGGUCCUAAGAUGCUUCCCCCCACCCCCCUUCUUUUGGAAUGUUUACAGUGAUGCAUUCUUAAUGACUUUUGUCUCUUCUUCCAGAGAACUAGGAGCAUUUUAGAACUCACGAGUAGGGCGCCCAACCUCUGGUUCCUGUCUCUAAGCUCCCUGGGCGCAGCCUCCCCUCUGGACUCAGGGCGGACGCUUCCUGGGUGGCAGGGGAGACGUGACCGGACGACCUCGGUGUGCUCUGAAGGAAAAGCAGUG
RNAcentral lists this long non-coding RNA (1552 nucleotides) under Sus scrofa (pig). RNAcentral describes it as "lncRNA (ENSSSCG00055002021.1)". Lineage: Eukaryota; Metazoa; Chordata; Mammalia; Artiodactyla; Suidae. The record is from RNAcentral.